Non-coding RNA from Thermoanaerobacter pseudethanolicus ATCC 33223, 60 nucleotides. Lineage: Bacteria; Bacillati; Bacillota; Clostridia; Thermoanaerobacterales; Thermoanaerobacteraceae. The record is from Rfam.
AUACCAUAAGGUGAUGGAGCUCGCCAUAAAUGCGGAAACGCUGAUGGCUCCUAUUAGGAG